UUUUUUCAUGAAAUCAAAAUCGAUUAUUUUUGGUGUCAGCUGAAAACAUUUAGGUUUGACAUAAAAAGCUGGACAGGAAACGAGGCUCACCUUCACUGCAGCUUACAGGAGAACUUCAUCUGCAGCAGAACCCAACAGAAUGACCUGCCGCCCUGCACUGACCUGGACGAUACAGAAAUGUCUCAUCUGCAUAUUCAUGAUGAAGAUAAAAGUAUUUCUUUCAUUUCUUGGAAAAAAUCAAAUUUUUAAAAUAAUU
Molecule: long non-coding RNA, 256 nt
Organism: Gambusia affinis (western mosquitofish)
Lineage: Eukaryota; Metazoa; Chordata; Actinopteri; Cyprinodontiformes; Poeciliidae
Exons: 2
Source: RefSeq, a predicted model, not a curated record